GAAUUUGAGACGAGAAAAGCAGUCGUUGCUGCUGCGAGAUCGAGAUGAAGCUACUACUGAAAUUGCAGACAUGAACUCAGAUCGAGACUGAAGAAAGAACAUAGGUUUUUGAUUUGAAUAAGAGAUUAAAUCUGUGAUGAGAUGGGAUUUUUCCCUGUGAGCUUUCGGAAUAGAGAGGAAUGGGUUUGAGCUCGUGGUGAAGAAAUCAAAGAAGGAAUUGAAGAUGGGCAUAGUUUCUGCUGCUGUUAAUUGAACGUAGUGAUACGAAGAUGAUUCUGGUGCUGUAUGUUUAAAGGCUUGAGAAGAGCAACUCUGAAAUUGAAUCUAAGGGUUUCGAUUGUAUCUGUAACUGAUGAACAGAGUUGGGUUUGCGGUGGUAAUCAAAUAGGUGAUGUUCAAUGAUGAAUUGAGUAGGGUUCGAUCUAGAGUUGUGAAUGAGAGAUGGGUUUGCUGAUGAAUUCAAGAUCGAGAGGAAGAAGAAGCUCACACAGGGUUUCGAUUCGUCACUGUUAUGGGUUAGAGUUGCUGUGAAGAAGAAAUUGGGUUUUGAUGAAUGAUGCUUCUGCUCAAUUGUAGCUGUUGUACAUUGGGUGAUUUUCAUGAGAAGAAGCAGAAAUUGAGUACAAGAAGCAUCAGAGAUGGGGUUUAGAUCGAGAAGAGCAGAUGGGUUUUGAAUGGACCUUGAGAUUGAAGAUGAGUUGGUGGUGCUUCCUGGGUUCGAAUGAGAAACAGAUGCUGCAGCUGUGACAGAUUCAGAAGAGUUGAGCUGUUGCUGUGAUGGGUUGUGUAUGAAAUUGAUGAAUGAGUUACUUGAAUAGAUGUAUGUUAGGUUCUUAACAGGUUAAGAAAGAAAGGCCUGAAAUUGGCAUGGGAAAUGCUCUGUAAACAGUCGAGUCUCGGCCGGCACUCUGCUCAGACAAGUCAACUCGUUGCCGCCGAUGAACGAUCCAACUCAUGAGUAAGACCAGUGAGACAGACUCAGAUCAACUAACUUAGUGGCUGACUCUAAGACCUUGACCCAGUCGACUGUUAGAGACCGUUAGUAUUGACUGUUAACUGUGACGGAAUAUGCUGUCGACGGAGAAGAAUAUUCAGUGAUCUGAAGAGAACUUUCAGACUUGGACUUGAAAAUUGAUGAAGAAUUUGGUCUGAAUUUGGAAAAAGAGGAUGGAAGAUUUGAGAAACACUUGGAUUUGGAAGUGCAGCUAUAAAGGGAAAGGGAUUCUAUUCCUAAGAGGAUUGUUAGGAAAUUGAAGCCUAUAAAUAGAGAAGUUCUCUACUUUUCUCUAGAUACUUAACAAUAUAUACACCUUAUACACUUCUACACCUCCACACACAACACUUUUCUUUUCUUUAUUUUUUGUGUGCAUGAGUAGCUAAUUUUAUUGAUUGGGGAUAAAUUCCUAAUUCUUGACAUGUUUUGAGUUUUUAUUUUAAAUCUACUUUGAAGUUUUUCACAUGA
This is a long non-coding RNA of Papaver somniferum (opium poppy), 1462 nucleotides long. RefSeq lists it as uncharacterized. The record is from RefSeq and is a predicted model, not a curated record. The transcript is spliced from 2 exons. NCBI's taxonomy places the organism in Eukaryota, Viridiplantae, Streptophyta, Magnoliopsida, Ranunculales, Papaveraceae.